GUGGAGAAGUCUUCGUUCCAGAGGAAAGGGCACAACAGCGGGCCAGCUGGAGACGGAAGACAGAACAUAUCCCAAGUGCGAGCCAACAGAGAUUUGAAAUUAGAAUCUGGGCUCAACCUGCACCUGGGUUUUAAGAACUCUGUGAUUGUAAGUGGAUAGGGCUGUCAAGUAGUUGGAAGAAAGUGUGUAGAGUCCUGAGGUGACAUGGAGUUGAUUUGCCAAGAAAAAUUAUUAGCAUAUUUAUCUGAUCAUUUGCGUCAAUGUGUCUUCUUGGCAAGGAGAAGCAUUUGUGCAGGGAACUAAUGAAAGAGGAAGGUUAAAAGAAGAGGAGGGCCCCAUAAGGUAAGCAGGAAGUCAAGUGGUACCCAGAGAAGCCCAUCUGGCUUUGCCAUCAAAGGCAACUUGAUGGAGAUGGAGAAGCUAAAUGACUGGCCACAUUUCCCAUGUGUUGUGGGGUGACACCCUCUCCUAGAACCUGGGGACUGGGAUCCAGGCCUGGAGCUUACUUUGGACUUUCUGUGGAGGAUAAUUUUUAUUGGGAAGUGUGGUUUGAAAGGUAAAACUGUUGAAGACCAUCUAUCUUUGAAGAUCAGCGUUUGCUGGCACUCACUGAGGAUUUCUGGAUUCUUGGAAAUCUAACAACUGCCUCUUUCCUCACCACAACUAGGUAUAAACAAUGAAUAAUGUGGGAACUAAGAAUUCAAGGAUGAUGGCCUUCUUAAGGUUUGCUUUGAGUUCAAGGAUUUAAAACUAUAGAUAGAGACAGGAGGCAGCCAAGCAUCCCCAGUGAAACCCCACCUCCAAGCCUAAAAGUCUGAAGGCUGAAAAACCAGACUGAUGGUCCCGGAUGAAGCGUACCGUUUCCCGAUUGAUUCUCUCUGAAUAAUGCCCACCUGCGCACUGGGGGAGGUGAGUGGAGCCAGGGAAAGUUCCUGCCAUUUGCAGGGGAAGGAGCCUGGCCUCUUCAGUUCCUGUGUGGUGACCUGGGAAUCGGUCUAUGAGGUCAUAGCCGUGCCUGGGAGAACCUUCUCUUCAACUCUGCCGCACCACUGUCAAGCUCACCUUUCUUCUAAGGUUUUAUUUUAGAGUUAACAUCCUCCAAAAAGCCUUCCUCAGGAGUUGAAGGUGCCCCUAAUAUCACAGCCAUGGCAUCCUGUACACUGGACCUUAUUGUCUGUCUGCCUGUUGUACCUUGUAUGAGUCUAUAAGCAAAACCUAUAAGAAGCCACAUCUGGCUAUUCUAUGUACUCAAAAAAUAAUUGGCAAGUGAAAGAAUGAGGAAAAGGAGAAAAAAUUCAGAAGGCCCCUACCCCUUCCAAUGGGUCAAGUCAGGAAUUUCCUACCUGCAUGUGAUUCCCUGUGUCCUAGAGGGUUUUAUUUACUCCUCAGACCUUGGAAACUGUUAACCAGAGUCUCUGUUUGGAGAUCUUAUCUGUGUGCUUCUCCAUGGGUGUUGUUUCCCUGUCUCUGCAGCCAUGCAUUCCUCAGCUCUUUAAGUGGUGGAGCCUGUCUGCCUGGAUAGAGUGCAAAAGCUACAGUGUAAUCUUGCUUUCUUUCAGGGCCACUGACCAGAGGAAAUAAAAACUGGACUGAUUGGGCUCUCCUGAUGUAGACCAGCCAGUGGCCCUCUAAGUUUCCUUCUAUGUUUAAAAUUCCUUAUCUGACAUUGCUAGCUGAUCAGCAGGCCCACAGGUCAGCUGAGGGCUUAUCUCCAGGGCUGGAGCUUCAAAGAGAUACAUGCACACGACUCCCCUGGGUCAGAUGGGCUGUGUCACAGUGAGUUGGGGAUAAUUUGGGAUCAGUCAACAUAACACACAUAACACAACCCAUUAAUUUUUUUUUUCAAAAAGCGAAGUUUAUUUUACUUUUUCCCAUUAUGAAAGUCAUCAAUGCUCAUUAUAGAAAAUUUGGCAAAUAACAAAAAGUGGAAAGAAAAAAAUUCCUUAAUAAUUUAGUAUAUUUGAUAUAUUCAUCCUUAAUCCUUAAUCUUUUACUAUGUUAUAUCUUUAAUAGUUGUGAUGAUAUACUUUUUGUAAUAAAUAUAUAUUUGUGUUGUGGCUUUUUUAAAAUUUAAAA
RNAcentral lists this long non-coding RNA (2076 nucleotides) under Homo sapiens (human). Its description in RNAcentral is "HSALNT0364262". The record is from RNAcentral. Lineage: Eukaryota; Metazoa; Chordata; Mammalia; Primates; Hominidae.